RNAcentral lists this ribosomal RNA (478 nucleotides) under uncultured bacterium. RNAcentral describes it as "partial 16S ribosomal RNA". It matches the Rfam family "Bacterial small subunit ribosomal RNA", at positions 28 to 507 of the family's 1533-position model. The record is from RNAcentral.
GAUGAACGCUGGCGGCGUGCUUAGCACAUGCAAGUCGAACGAGAAGUGGAGACGGAAACCUUCGGGCGGAAGACUUUAUUUCGAGUGGCGGACGGGUGAGUAACGCGUGGGUAACCUGCCUCAUACAGGGGGAUAACAGUUGGAAACGACUGUUAAUACCGCAUAAGACCACAGCACCGCAUGGUGCGGGGGUAAAAACUCCGGUGGUAUGAGAUGGACCCGCGUUCGAUUAGCCAGUUGGCGGGGUAACGGCCCACCAAAGCGACGAUCGAUAGCCGAUCUGAGAGGAUGACCGGCCACAUUGGGACUGAGACACGGCCCAAACUCCUACGGGAGGCAGCAGUGGGGAAUAUUGCACAAUGGGGGAAACCCUGAUGCAGCGACGCCGCGUGAGUGAAGAAGUAUUUCGGUAUGUAAAGCUCUAUCAGCAGGGAAGAAAAUGACGGUACCUGAGGAAGAAGCCCCGGCUAACUACGUG